AGAGUGGUGGUAUAGUGGUUAGCACGCCUGACAUGUAAUCAGGAGACACAGGUUCGAUUCCUGUCUGCUCAA
Molecule: non-coding RNA, 72 nt
Organism: Beta vulgaris subsp. vulgaris (sugar beet)
Lineage: Eukaryota; Viridiplantae; Streptophyta; Magnoliopsida; Caryophyllales; Amaranthaceae
Source: Rfam